UACGAAGGAUGCAAGCGUUAUCCGGAUUUAUUGGGUUUAAAGGGUGCGUAGGCGGUCUUAUAAGUCAGUGGUGAAAUCUCGUUGCUUAACAACGAACGUGCCAUUGAUACUGUAGGUCUUGAGUACAGAUGCCGUUGGCGGAAUGUGUCAUGUAGCGGUGAAAUGCAUAGAUAUGACACAGAACACCGAUUGCGAAGGCAGCUGACGAAACUGUAACUGACGCUGAGGCACGAGAGCGUGGGGAUCAAACAGG
RNAcentral lists this ribosomal RNA (253 nucleotides) under uncultured bacterium. Its description in RNAcentral is "partial 16S ribosomal RNA". It matches the Rfam family "Bacterial small subunit ribosomal RNA", at positions 524 to 776 of the family's 1533-position model. The record is from RNAcentral.